This 213-nucleotide small RNA is filed under the name Mycolicibacterium grossiae. Its description in RNAcentral is "Mycobacterium grossiae Actinobacteria sRNA Ms_IGR-5". It matches the Rfam family "Actinobacteria sRNA Ms_IGR-5". Lineage: Bacteria; Bacillati; Actinomycetota; Actinomycetes; Mycobacteriales; Mycobacteriaceae. The record is from Rfam by way of RNAcentral.
ACACAGGAAGGGAGGUGGUCCGUCAAAUUGAGUGACUUAUGGACAUGUGAGGUGGCUGCCCGCUAGCAGCACCGGGAGGUUCGUGUCACGGGGCCCGAUCGGUGCCCCACGCGCUCGAUGCACCUGCGCGCGCUAGCGAAUUCCCGGCAGUCACCCGGCCCCCGAGCCCCUCGGCCCGUCCGCCAAGGAACCACGGCUCGGGGGCCGCUCCAU